RNAcentral lists this long non-coding RNA (1718 nucleotides) under Gallus gallus (chicken). The record is from RNAcentral. Lineage: Eukaryota; Metazoa; Chordata; Aves; Galliformes; Phasianidae.
GGGAGGCGACGGGGCAGGAGCCGUGCGAUCGGGUCCGGCCGUGGGCCGCUGGCACUGCGGGUUGCCCCUGAGCGGGGACGGGGACGGCGCUGGGCCGCCUGGCGAGGGGCGGCGGCGGUAAUGAGGCGGGGCCGCUGCUCUGGGAGCUCGGGUCUGCCCGGCCCGCCGGGCUCGCUCUGCCUGCCCCGCGGGAGGGCCGCUGCCGCCGGCCCCCGCCUGGCCUCGUCCGCUGCUGAAGGAAGGGCUUCGUCCUCCUGUUCCGGCCAUACCGCGUGCGGCGCACCUUUAGGCCUUAACUGCGUUUUUCAAGAGUUGAAUCCGCCCCGUGCAAAAGGAAAUAACGAACACUGUAGUACUUGAACAGAAUAUUUGUUUUGAGCAGCCUGAAGCGUGCUGACCGCGUGGUUAUUGAAGAUGCAACCUUUGUAGCGUGGUGAUCUCGAGUGUUUUGCAUGCGGUCUGCAGUUCUGAUGCGGUCCUAUGAGGAUCCCAGCUUAAACAGAGGAAAGAAAUGCAGUUUCUCCGUAUGUUACUGUUCUUAAAACUUGUUCUAAACAGCUGAGAACAGUUUGACUCAGAGACACCACAAAUGUUUUAACACAAACUCUUGACAAAACUGAGUUUGCUUCUCACGCCCCGUGUAGCUUUCAGUAGGGUCGUGCAGUUAAAAGGUGGGAAUGAUUCACGUAGAGAGCUUAAGUGUAAGCCCUCCAGAAUUGUUUUGGGGAAGAUUUCAGGUAAACAGAAAGAACAAGGAAGUUAAAUAAGUUGCCCUUCAUCAAUUACAAGUUGCUACUUAGAAGCCUGAAGCAAAUUGCAGAAGGAAAUCAAGGGUGACCUAUGUUUGUAAUAGCAGUUAUAGUCCUGAUUCAGCUGGGAUAGAGUCACCAUUAGGAAGGUUGGGCAAGUGUGUGUCAUAUGUUUGCAGCACCUUGAAGUUCCAGUAGUUCGUGUUGUUGUACUCUGUGCCCAUGUGGAAGGCCUGUAAAGGAAGUACAGUAAGAUGGAGCACAUCUUAAAAAUCCUUUCAUUUUUCUGUAGGCUUUCUCCUGUUGUUUGGUUUUAUUUAUUAAAUGUGAAAUUUCCUUUCCCUCCCCCCCCCCCCCCCCAAAAUAGAAGCUCCCACUGUUUCAUUAACACGAACAUUUCAGCUGGGAAAGUGCUGGUGUGGGAGGGAAGUGGGGUGUGGUAGGGCAUGACAAAAGUGUUAACCUGAGUGUGAAUUUUGGGUGUGUACUGCAUUAGUGUGUAUGGAAUAAGGGCUUAGGCAGGUGGUUUUUCUGAGGCCUUUCAGGGCCUGUUUUCUUUGACUGUGCUGAUCUGAAGCUAAAUGGCUGAAAUAAUCAGUCUUAUUAUUUUGCACAGAAUUUUCUGUACAUUAAUUUACUGCUGAUAGAAGUUGCAGAAUUAUUAAUUCUUGAGCUUCUGGAAGUUGCUGCCAUCAUCUCUUCUACAGAGUCUCUGCUUCUCUAAAAAUGCCAGUAGGGAGUUAAUUAGUCUUCAGUUAACUGGCUCUCACAAUUAAAUGCAGCCAUACAUUGUUAUUUUCUCCAGAAUCCAGCUGUGCUCAUGGGAGAGGUUUUCCAGCUGUUUCUUCUCAUGGCUCCACUGGGAAUGCAGAUCUACUGGAAGGUUGAUUUAUGUAACCAAUCCAUGAUAUCAAUCUUAGAUAUCGUCUAUGUUAGCUCAGAUGACUAUUAAAAACUAUUUAAAUUGAC